This 280-nucleotide ribosomal RNA is filed under the name uncultured bacterium. Its description in RNAcentral is "partial 16S ribosomal RNA". It matches the Rfam family "Bacterial small subunit ribosomal RNA", at positions 506 to 784 of the family's 1533-position model. The record is from RNAcentral.
GGCUAGCCGCCCCGGUAAUAUGGACGGGCUUAGCGUUGUUCGGGAAUUACUGGGCGUAAAGCGUACGUAGGCGGAUUAAUAAGUUAGAGGUGAAAUCCCAGGGCUCAACCCUGGAACUGCCUUUAAAACUGUUAGUCUUGAGAUCGAGAGAGGUGAGUGGAAUUCCAAGUGUAGAGGUGAAAUUCGUAGAUAUUUGGAGGAACACCAGUGGCGAAGGCGGCUCACUGGCUCGAUACUGACGCUGAGGUACGAAAGUGUGGGGAGCAAACAGGAUUAGAUA